Non-coding RNA from Clostridium sp. CAG:762, 343 nucleotides. NCBI's taxonomy places the organism in Bacteria, Bacillati, Bacillota, Clostridia, Eubacteriales, Clostridiaceae. The record is from Rfam.
UAAUCUGGGUAAACGCUGCAAAAUUAUUUUGUAGAGGAAAGUCCACGCUCGCACUACCUGAGAUGGUAGUAGUGUUUGUGCUUAGGGAAAAAAUAACCUAAGGUAGAUUUAUCUAACGGCAGUUUUAUUUUCUAAAAGGUAACUCAUGAAAAUAAAACUCUAAGGUGCCACAGAAACGAGUUUAUUUGGAAACAAGUAAAAUGAAACGAGGUAAACCCCACAAGCGAGAAAUCCAAAUUUUGGUAGGAGAAUUACUACUGAGGAAUAAAACUUAAGUAGUGAAUGUGAAAGCAUAGAUAAAUGUUUACCGCCUAGUAAUAGGUACAGAACGUGGCUUAUAAGA